RNAcentral lists this unclassified non-coding RNA (2339 nucleotides) under Leguminivora glycinivorella. RNAcentral describes it as "uncharacterized LOC125225200, transcript variant X2". The record is from RNAcentral. Lineage: Eukaryota; Metazoa; Arthropoda; Insecta; Lepidoptera; Tortricidae.
UGUUGUAUGUGGCUGUUCAAAACCGUAGUCUCAUCUAAGUCUGCUACAAUGGCUACUCAAGAGCUUAAGAGGUUACGUACAGCGCGAGGCUAUACAAAAGCUUCCAUUACUCGCCUGUAUACAUUUUGUAAUAAUGACAGUGAUGUAGCUAGCAGUGCUUUAUCGGCGCUCGAUGCCAAAAGAGCGAGGGUGACGGAGCUCUUCAAUGAAUAUGACAAAUGUAACAAAGAAAUUCUGUCUUUGGACGAAGAGGAUGCGGAGGAUGUCGAAGACUUUGAGGAUAAAUAUUAUCAUAUACUGACAGUCCUCAACGAGGCAAUUAAUCGUAUAUCCUCGCCCUCGUCUGAAUCUCCUGCCGCCGCAUCAUGUCAAAAUAACUUUAAGGCUAAGUUGCCUACUAUAAAGAUAGAUGUGUUUACGGAUUCGUACACGUCGCGGGCGUACCAGUUGGAGCGAGAUGACACCAAGGACCCAACUAUCACCGAGUUCCUCUUGUACCUGGAGAAGCGAGCUUUGGCACUGGAGAACGCUGAGCCGUCCACGUCGGGGAAGUCUCAACACAAGGCUGUGGUAAAUGUGACAGCGACUGCCUCGACUGCCUGCAACUAUUGUCCUGCUUCUGGAGCCGGUCCCUGGGCAGCAGCAGGAGUCAGAUGAAGACCCAGCGAGUCCUCAUCCUACAAUUGUAAAUACUAAGCUUGGCUACAUCAUCGGUGGUGCUUUAUCACGACAGCAAACCAGUGACAAAAAAUGAAGGCUCAGUGUGCGAAACAGCUGAUGGGUUCUUUGCCACCUGAAAGGGUCACAGCCUGCCGAGCAUUCCAGAAAGUCGGCAUCGACUUUGCAGGUCCCAUAACAGUGAAGAAUUCUCGCGUAAGAAGAGCUCUACAGACAAAAGGCUACAUAUGCGUUUUUGUUUGUUUUGUGACUAAAGCCAUACAUCUGGAGCUCUCUUCGGACUUGACCACUGACGCUUUCCUUGCAUGUUUCAAGCGAUUUAUAGCUCGCAGAGGCCUGCCGACCGACGUUUUUUGCGAUAAUGGUGGAUGCUUUAAGGGGGCAAAGAACCAGUUAGUUGAGCUGUACAAUUUAAGUUCUUCGCAAAAUCAUCAGACUCUGGUGCAAUCAUACGCGGCACAGCAACGUAUUAACUUUCAUUUCGUGCCAAGCUACUCACCUGUGUUUGCUGGUCUUGCUGAAGCUGCUGUUAAGAGUACCAAGUACCAUUUAAAGCGCAUAUUGCAAUCUUAUGUACUGACGUAUGAACAGAUCAAUACAAUUUUAUGUCAGAUUGAGUCUACUCUUAAUUCUAGGCCACUUUUGCCUGUAAAUGCAACUGAUAUUAAUGAUUACAGUUAUUUGACGCCGGGCCAUUUUUUAAUUGGCACGUCUAUGACAUGUCUCCCAGAAGCAGACUUGACCGAGUUACCUAGUAAUAGAUUAAAGUUCUGGGAAAUCUGUAAUAAGGUCAAAGGUCACUUUUGGAAGAUAUGGCAUAAGUACUAUUUAAAUGCAUUACAAUGUCGUCCUAAGUGGCGUGAUAGCCAACCAAACGUCAGGGUUGGAUCCUUAGUAAUCAUGAGGGAGCCUAACGCUCCUCCCAUGACGUGGCCUAUGGCCAGAAUUGUUAAAGUGUAUCCUGGUGAUGAUGAUAAGGUGCGCGUGGUAGACCUUUUGGCACCGAAUAAAAAGGUGUACAAACGAUCAUUAAGUGGUUUCGCUGUGUUACCUAUAGAUUAAUUUUGUUGUGUGUAUUCUUAUGCAUUAUAUUGUAAUUGUGCAGGUUAAGUUUAAACCUUAAAAAGGUUAUUAUUUUUUUCAUUACAAACCCUCGAGUUGUAGGUAUCUAUCUUGUUACAAAACUACUCAGAAGUUAUGAGUGUUAAUUUAUUGCUUUUUCUUGUUUCUCAGCUUAUCAGGAUUUUGCUGUUAUUCUUUUAUGGAUGAUCUUUAACGCUAAUAAUAUCUUCUCUAGUUUGUAAUUAACAAAAUCAUUUUAAGACUACUCUUUAUUAUUUAGUUUUGAUUGUAAACUUGAGAUGGAUUAUGCCAUGAUGCUGGGUUUACAGUCUAUGCCUAUUUAAGUAGCAUGUUUUGGAAAUACUUAUAGUUAUUUAAGGCGAAGGUUUCGGCCCCGCCCCAGCAUGUUGGAGGAUCCAACAGAAAUUAAACCUUAUUUUUGUCUAUGUAGCGGUUGCUAUGGAAACGUUUGGUUACAAUAUAAAAAAAUGUCUUCUUGAAUACCUUCUUGAUUCAUACGUUGAUGUGAGUACAUAAAAUAAAUGGUUGUUCACCCGGCCACACAUGGAAUUAUUAUUUCUCGCCCACUAGAAUCAGCU